CUCCUUCAUUUUGGCAGCACAUAUCUUAAAAUUGGAACAAUGCAGAAGAGACGGUCUGGCCCUUGCUCAAGGCUGACACACACAUUCACAAAGCAUUCUAUAUUUUU
RNAcentral lists this small nuclear RNA (107 nucleotides) under Salvator merianae (Argentine black and white tegu). The record is from RNAcentral. Lineage: Eukaryota; Metazoa; Chordata; Lepidosauria; Squamata; Teiidae.